AAAUCGUGCUGGUAGGCACUAACACAUGCAAGUCGAGCGAGAAGGUUCUUUCGGGAACUGGAGAGCGGCGGACGGGUUAGUAACGCGUGGGAACGUGCCUUAAGGUCUGGGAUAACUAUUGGAAACGAUAGCUAAUACCGGAUGGUCCCUUCGGGGUAAAGCUUUAGCGCCUUAAGAUCGGCCCGCGUUAGAUUAGCUAGUUGGUGAGGUAACGGCUCACCAAGGCGACGAUCUAUAGCUGGUUUGAGAGGAUGAUCAGCAACACUGGAACUGAGACACGGUCCAGACUCCUACGGGAGGCAGCAGUGGGGAAUAUUGCGCAAUGGAGGAAACUCUGACGCAGCCAUGCCGCGUGAGUGAAGAAGGCCUUCGGGUUGUAAAACUCUUUCAACGGUGAAGAUGAUGACGGUAACCGUAGAAGAAGCACCGGCUAACUUCGUGCCAGCAGCCGCGGUAAUACGAAGGGUGCUAGCGUUGUUCGGAAUUACUGGGCGUAAAGGGCGUGUAGGCGGACAUAUCAGUCAGGGGUGAAAUCCCGGGGCUCAACCCCGGAACUGCCUUUGAUACUGUAUGUCUAGAAUCUGUGAGGGGAUGGUGGAAUAUCAAGUGUAGAGGUGAAAUUCGUAGAUAUUUGAUGGAACACCAGUGGCGAAGGCGACUAUCUGGCACAGUAUUGACGCUGAGGCGCGGAAGCGUGGGGAGCAAACAGGAUUAGAUACCCUGGUAGUCCACGCCGUAUACGAUGUGAACUAGUCGUCGGGAAUUUGUUCUCGGUGACGCAGCUAACGCAUUAAGUUCACCGCCUGGGGAGUACGGUCGCAAGAUUAAUACUCAGAUGACUUGACCGG
Molecule: ribosomal RNA, 848 nt
Filed under: uncultured bacterium
Lineage: Bacteria
Description: bacterial SSU rRNA
Rfam family: Bacterial small subunit ribosomal RNA
Source: RNAcentral